RNAcentral lists this ribosomal RNA (801 nucleotides) under uncultured Actinomycetes bacterium. Its description in RNAcentral is "bacterial SSU rRNA". It matches the Rfam family "Bacterial small subunit ribosomal RNA", at positions 70 to 858 of the family's 1533-position model. The record is from RNAcentral. Lineage: Bacteria; Bacillati; Actinomycetota; Actinomycetes.
AACCAUGGCUUCGGCCAUGGGGAGAGCGGCGAACGGGUGAGUAACACGUGAGCGAUCUGCCCUCGACACUGGGAUAGCCCGGGGAAACCCGGAUUAAUACCGGAUAGCCUCUCGGGUCUACGGGCUCGCGAGAAAAGAUGGCUUCGGCUUUCGGUCGAGGAGGAGCUUGCGGCGGAUUAGCUUGUUGGUGAGGUAACGGCUCACCAAGGCGACGAUCCGUAGCUGGUCUGAGAGGACGAUCAGCCACACUGGGACUGAGACACGGCCCAGACUCCUACGGGAGGCAGCAGUUGGGAAUCUUGCGCAAUGGGCGAAAGCCUGACGCAGCGACGCCGCGUGAGGGAAGAAGGCCUUCGGGUUGUAAACCUCUUUCAGGAGGGACGAAGCCACUCGGGUUAAUAGCCCAGAGGGUGACGGUACCUCCAGAAGAAGCCCCGGCUAACUACGUGCCAGCAGCCGCGGUAAUACGUAGGGGGCAAGCGUUGUCCGGAAUCAUUGGGCGUAAAGCGCGUGUAGGCGGCCAGAUAAGUCCGCUGUGAAAACUCGAGGCUCAACUUCGAGCUGUCGGUGGAAACUAUCUGGCUAGAGUCCGGAAGAGGAGAGUGGAAUUCCUGGUGUAGCGGUGAAAUGCGCAGAUAUCAGGAAGAACACCCGUGGCGAAGGCGGCUCUCUGGGACGGUACUGACGCUGAGACGCGAAAGCGUGGGGAGCGAACAGGAUUAGAUACCCUGGUAGUCCACGCCGUAAACGAUGGGUGCUAGGUGUGGGCGGUGUCGACUCCGUCCGUGCCGAAGCUAACGC